RNAcentral lists this ribosomal RNA (255 nucleotides) under uncultured bacterium. RNAcentral describes it as "partial 16S ribosomal RNA". It matches the Rfam family "Bacterial small subunit ribosomal RNA", at positions 526 to 779 of the family's 1533-position model. The record is from RNAcentral.
CGUAGGGUGCGAGCGUUGUCCGGAAUUAUUGGGCGUAAAGAGCUUGUAGGCGGUUUGUCGCGUCUGCUGUGAAAAUCCGGGGCUCAACCCCGGACUUGCAGUGGGUACGGGCAGACUAGAGUGUGGUAGGGGAGACUGGAAUUCCUGGUGUAGCGGUGAAAUAGCGCAGAUAUCAGGAGGAACACCGAUGGCGAAGGCAGGUCUCUGGGCCAUUACUGACGCUGAGAAGCGAAAGCAUGGGGAGCGAACAGGAUU